UUUUAUUUUUAUGGUAGAGAAUGCAGUCUUUCCCACAAGUAGCCCUUGAGCCCAAAUAUAUUAACAGUUUAGGGAGAGGAAAAAAGGAACUUGAGCUUUAUCUACACAGAGGGACUAAUUGAAGUGCAGUUGGGCGUGGAGUUGCAUUUCAGUAGCUUUCUAAAGAUGUCUUCCUAUUGUAAGUGGCUCUUUUAAAAAAUAUUCAAGAGAAAAUUUGUUUUGCUUGAGUUAUGAUUUGUAAAUAUUAUAAUUUCUGGAGAUUUUAUAUUUUUUCAGGCAGAAUAGAUUUGUAGAGACGUAAGCAAUCAGGCAGCACAUGACAUUAGUUACCGUGGUGGUUAGAAGCCGGUCCAGAGCUCUUCUGCUAAAAUAGCAGCCAAAACCAAAAUACAAAACUUUUGAUUUUGGUGCUGAGUGAGGAACCCAGGGCCUUGCGCAUAGUAGGAAGCACUUCACCAUGGAGCUACUCCUCCAGCUCCGAACUUAUUCUUAUUAAAAAGACUUUCUCAAAAGAAGGAUUCGAGAUUUAAUUUUUAAGCUCUGUGUUUGUUUAUUUACUAUUUGAACAAGUACAUGAAUGUGAAUAUAGUGUAACACAAGCGCAAGGGCAUCAGGUCGUCACCCGUGCUGAGGUGGAAGCCAGGGCCCCUCUGUGUGCUAAGCAAGCGCUCACAGGAGCUGCUGCCUGCGAGCUCCGCCGUGUUCAGUGCAGGCUUGCACUUCUCCGGGGCAAGGGCUGCCCUGCUCAGCUCGUGCCUCACCGUGUGGAAGAGGAGCUGUGGGCACAGGGAGCGGCGGUCCCAGGAGUUACUGUCUAGCGCCAUGGAGCCUCAAAGAAAGAACUGCGGAAGCUCUUACUUCGUCUCCUUCCCUCACCUGGUCAGGCCUGAGCCCUACGUCCGCACUGUGAGAUGAGAGCACACUGACCCCGCCAGCUGCCUCUCCACCCCAGACGGAAGGAGGCCCUGGACACCGCAAUUCUCACACUGGAAUGGGGAGGGUGUUUCUGCUUAAAGUUUUUUGAAAAGCAGUAGCAAAUGGACCCAGAUAGUCCCAUACUGUGAAUAUUUAGUCAGACUUCUCUUAUUCACAUUUAUUCUGCAUAUUGCAUUAUAAAUAUUUAAGAGGAAGACAAAGGUGUAAAAUAUUCAGGGUGAUUUUUGUCAAUAAAAUAUCAAAAUGCUAACCUUCCUGUGAAUAUGGGAAUGUAUGGUACAUGUUUAUAAA
Molecule: long non-coding RNA, 1227 nt
Filed under: Chinchilla lanigera (long-tailed chinchilla)
Lineage: Eukaryota; Metazoa; Chordata; Mammalia; Rodentia; Chinchillidae
Description: lncRNA (ENSCLAG00000026306.1)
Source: RNAcentral